RNAcentral lists this ribosomal RNA (653 nucleotides) under uncultured bacterium. RNAcentral describes it as "bacterial SSU rRNA". It matches the Rfam family "Bacterial small subunit ribosomal RNA", at positions 223 to 863 of the family's 1533-position model. The record is from RNAcentral.
GGAGGGGCUUGCGUACCAUUAGCUAGUUGGUGGGGUAACGGCCUACCAAGGCGACGAUGGUUAGCGGGUCUGAGAGGAUGAUCCGCCACACUGGAACUGGAACACGGACCAGACUCCUACGGGAGGCAGCAGUGAGGAAUAUUGCGCAAUGGGGGAAACCCUGACGCAGCGACGCCGCGUGAGUGAAGAAGGCCUUCGGGUUGUAAAGCUCUGUCAGCAGGGAAGAAAUGGCGUAUGGCUAAUAUCCAUAUGUUUUGACGGUACCUGCAGAGGAAGCACCGGCUAACUCCGUGCCAGCAGCCGCGGUAAUACGGAGGGUGCGAGCGUUAAUCGGAAUCACUGGGCGUAAAGGGCGCGUAGGCUGUUGAUCAAGUCAGAUGUGAAAGCCCGUGGCUUAACCACGUGAAGUGCAUCUGAAACUGGUUGACUUGAGUACUGGAGGGGAAGGUGGAAUUCCCGGUGUAGAGGUGAAAUUCGUAGAGAUCGGGAGGAAUACCGGUGGCGAAGGCGACCUUCUGGACAGAUACUGACGCUGAGGCGCGAAAGCGUGGGGAGCAAACAGGAUUAGAUACCCUGGUAGUCCACAGCUGUAAACGUGCUGCACUAGAUGUAGGGGGGAGUUGACCCUCCCUGUGUCGCAGCCAACGCAUUAA